GCAGUCGUACGAGAGUUUUUAACUCAAGUUGGCGGACGGGUGAGUAACACGCUGAGNNNCNNCCUUUAGGAGGGGGAUAACAACUGGAAACGGUUGCUAAUACCCCAUAUGCUUUCGAGUGAAAUGGAUUUAUCCGCCUAGAGAGGAGCUCGCGGCUGAUUAGCUUGUUGGUAGGGUAAUGGCCUACCAAGGCGACGAUCAGUAUCUGGUUUGAGAGGACGAUCAGACACACUGGAACUGAGACACGGUCCAGACUCCUACGGGAGGCAGCAGUGGGGAAUUUUCCGCAAUGGGCGAAAGCCUGACGGAGCAAUACCGCGUGAGGGAAGACGGCCUAUGGGUUGUAAACCUCUUUUCUCAGGGAGGAACUCAAUGACGUGUACCUGAGGAAUAAGCAUCGGCUAACUCCGUGCCAGCAGCCGCGGUAAGACGGAGGAUGCAAGUGUAAUCCGGAAUCACUGGGCGUAAAGCGUCUGUAGGUGGUUUAAUAAGUCAGCUGUUAAAUCUUGAAGCUCAACUUCAAAAUCGCAGUCGAAACUAUUAGACUAGAGUAUAGUAGGGGUAAAGGGAAUUUCCAGUGGAGCGGUGAAAUGCGUAGAGAUUGGAAAGAACACCGAUGGCGAAGGCACUUUACUGGGCUAUUACUAACACUCAGAGACGAAAGCUAGGGUAGCAAAUGGGAUUAGAUACCCCAGUAGUCCUAGCUGUAAACAAUGGAUACUAGAUGUUGAACAGAUCGACCUGUGCAGUAUUAAAGCUAACGCGGUUAAGUAUCCCGCCUGGG
Molecule: ribosomal RNA, 784 nt
Filed under: uncultured cyanobacterium
Lineage: Bacteria; Bacillati; Cyanobacteriota
Description: bacterial SSU rRNA
Rfam family: Bacterial small subunit ribosomal RNA
Source: RNAcentral